This is a long non-coding RNA of Bos taurus (domestic cattle), 350 nucleotides long. Lineage: Eukaryota; Metazoa; Chordata; Mammalia; Artiodactyla; Bovidae. The record is from Ensembl.
GUGAGCAGGAAGGCGCAGCAGUGGUUGCAGGCCACGGGGACCCCUUGGAGCAGUUUGGGCCUGUGUUCUGGGGUCUGGUCCACUCCCUUCUACACAGUUUCUCCUAUGAUGACCAUGUCCUGGUCUGGCCCCCUGGCCCCUGCCCGAUGGUCACGCAGAGCUCCCAGCCUCCCUCCGGCCCUAGAGAGGGUCCCGCGCCUUGGCAGGAGCAGGAAGACCUGGCAGAGGGAGGCGAGGCCUCGCAGUUUCCAGUCCCAAAGUCUGUAUUAUACUUCACAAAAGAAGCGAGUGAUUAUCAGUAUGAAGAGUCUGAUGAGGAGGUCCAAGAAGCUGAAGGUGAGGAGGAGGAC